UGACAACCUGGUUGAUCCUGCCAGUAGUCAUAUGCUUGUCUCAAAGAUUAAGCCAUGCAUGUCUCAGUACAAGCCAAAUUAAGGUGAAACCGCGAAAGGCUCAUUAAAUCAGUUAUGGUUCCUUAGAUUGUACCCACACUUACUUGGAUAACUGUGGUAAUUCUAGAGCUAAUACAUGCCAACAGAACUCUGACCGGAGACGGAAGGAGUGCCUUUAUUAGAACAAAACCAAUCGGUGGCAUGGCCCCGGUCAUGUCAUCGUACAAGAUGGUGAAUCUGAAUAACGUUUGCUGAUCGCACGGUCUUGCACCGGCGACGCAUCUUUCAAAUGUCUGCCUUAUCAACUUUCGAUGGUAGGUUCUGCGCCUACCAUGGUUGUAACGGGUAACGGGGAAUCAGGGUUCGAUUCCGGAGAGGGAGCCUGAGAAACGGCUACCACAUCCAAGGAAGGCAGCAGGCGCGCAAAUUACCCACUCCCGGCACGGGGAGGUAGUGACGAAAAAUAACGAUACGGGACUCAUCCGAGGCCCCGUAAUCGGAAUGAGCACACUUUAAAUCCUUUCACGAGGAUCAAUCGGAGGGCAAGUCAGGUGCCAGCAGCCGCGGUAAUUCCUGCUCCGAUAGCGUAUAUUAAAGUUGUUGCGGUUAAAAAGCUCGUAGUCGAAUCUGUGUCCCGCACCGUCGGUUCAUCGCUUGCGGUGUUUAACUGGCGUGCCGCGGGACGUCCUGCCGGUGGAUUGGUGCACGCGCGCCCUUGGGUGAGUGUGUAUCUUUCCAACUAUUACCCAUCGCGGUGCUCUUAACUGAGUGUCGAGGUGGGCCGGCACGUUUACUUUGAACAAAUUAGAGUGCUUAAAGCAGGCUAAAAGCUCGCCUGAAUAAUGUGUGCAUGGAAUAAUGGAAUAGGACCUCGGUUCUAUUUUGUUGGCUUUCGGAACACCGAGGUAAUGAUUAAUAGGAACGGAUGGGGGCAUUCGUAUUGCGACGUUAGAGGUGAAAUUCUUGGAUCGUCGCAAGACGGACUAAAGCGAAAGCAUUUGCCAAAAACGUUUUCAUUGAUCAAGAACGAAAGUUAGAGGUUCGAAGGCGAUCAGAUACCGCCCUAGUUCUAACCAUAAAAGAUGCCAGCUAGCGAUCCGCCGACGUUCCUCCGAUGACUCGGCGGGCAGCUUCCGGGAAACCAAAGCUUUUGGGUUCCGGGGGAAGUAUGGUUGCAAAGCUGAAACUUAAAGGAAUUGACGGAAGGGCACCACCAGGAGUGGAGCCUGCGGCUUAAUUUGACUCAACACGGGAAACCUCACCAGGCCAGGACACUGGAAGGAUUGACAGAUUGAGAGCUCUUUCUUGAUUCAGUGGGUGGUGGUGCAUGGCCGUUCGUCGUUGGUGGAGCGAUUUGUCUGGUUAAUUCCGAUAACGAACGAGACUCUGUCCUACUAAAUAGGCGGAAAUACGACAUCUCAAAGGCCCGUCGGUUUGCAUGUUCUUCGGUUCGCCCCUCGGGGAGUUCUGUUGUAGUGCUUGCUGUGCGAGGUUUUUACUGUCGGCGAAUUAUAAAUUCUUCUUAGAGGCACAAACGGCGGCUAGCCGCACGAAAAUGAGCAAUAACAGGUCUGUGAUGCCCUUAGAUGUUCUGGGCCGCACGCGCGCUACACUGAAGGAAUCAGCGUGUCUUCCUAGGCCGAGAGGCCCGGGUAACCCGCUGAACCUCCUUCGUGCUAGGGAUUGGGGCUUGCAAUUGUUCCCCAUGAACGAGGAAUUCCCAGUAAGCGCGAGUCAUAAGCUCGCGUUGAUUACGUCCCUGCCCUUUGUACACACCGCCCGUCGCUACAUCCGAUUGAAUGAUUUAGUGAGGUCUUCGGACUGGUGCGCGAUGGCGUUUCGACGUUAACGAUGAUGCCGGGAAGAUGACCGAACUUGAUCAUUUASAGGAAGUAAAAGUCGUAACAAGGUUUCCGUA
This 1957-nucleotide ribosomal RNA is filed under the name Anillochlamys aurouxi. RNAcentral describes it as "SSU rRNA". It matches the Rfam family "Eukaryotic small subunit ribosomal RNA". The record is from RNAcentral. Lineage: Eukaryota; Metazoa; Arthropoda; Insecta; Coleoptera; Leiodidae.